AGUUUUAAGGUGAAAACCUCCUAAAUGCAAUCGCAGAACCAUUUAGGGUGCAGAAUUCCAGGUGUCAACCUCACACUGCCACGCCUACCACUGAACCCUGACCCCAGGCGCUUAAAUGCCACCAGGGCGGUGACUCCGCCGCUGCCCCGCAGCCGGAACGCUGCACAAGCCUUCGGGAGAGGAAUUUCUUCCCCGUGUCCAACCCAAGUAUCCCGCGUGAGGCCGUUUCCUCUCGUCCUGUCGCUUGUGGCGUGGGAGCAGGGCCAGCUGUCCCGUACCAUCAGGGAGCUGCGGGGAGCCAUAAACCCUUCCCGGAUCCUCCUUUCCUGCCGGGAGCCGCCUCCGGUGACGUCAGAGCGGGACGCCGGGCGGGGGCAUGACGUCACGGCGAGGCGCGCGUCGCCGCAGUGCGGGCAGUGGGACGCGCGCUCACCUGCGCACAUCUGGGCGCACCCGCACACGGCUGCGUUCACCUGCGCGCACCUGAGCUGCCCGGCGCCAUGGUUCGGUUCGGGCUGACGGUCGUGCGGCAUGGAGAAACAAGAUACAACAAAGACAAGAUAUUGCAAGGUCAAGGAGUGGAUGAGCCACUCUCUGCCACUGGUUUCAGGCAAGCAGAUGCUGCUGGUUUAUUUCUCAGUAAUGUGAAGUUUACCCACGUCUUUUCAAGUGAUCUCCUUCGAACAAAGCAGACUGCUGCUGCCAUUCUAGGGAAAAACAGGUUUUGCAAAGAUUUGGAAAUCAAGUACGAUGCAAGACUGCGAGAGAGAAAAUAUGGUGUUGCAGAAGGAAGGCCUUUGGCUGACCUCAAGGCUAUGGCAAAGGAUGCUGGAGAGCAAUGUCCUUCAUUCACACCUCCUGGAGGAGAAACACUGGAUGAAGUGAGAGAGCGUGCGAGGGAUUUUUUUCAAUUCCUAUGCCAGCUGGCUGUUGAGUUGGAGCAGAAAAGGCACGACAAGCCUGGUGCCCCAGGCAGGAGCUCAGGAACAUCUGGAGAACAGUUUAUUUUCCCCUGGGCAAACCACUGCAGUGAGGCAGAGCUGAGCUCUGAGGGCAGCGGAUCUUCCACCCUAUUAGAUGCCAAUAUUUUGGUGGGGUGCUACACAGCCAGUGUCAGAUGCCACAGUGAUGCAGGGCACUCCUUAGAUGUAUCCUGGAAAGGGAGCUGGAAGGCAGUCUGGAUGAGCUACCACCUAUUAUGAAUGUCAGGAACCAAGGUAAAGCGAGGAAAUCCUCACUCCAGAGCAAAAGAUGAAAGGAAAAGAUGGAUAAGGCAGACCCCAGCUUUCAGGAUGAAAUUUAUUCAAGGUAAUCAUUGAGCAACCUGGUCUAGGGGGAAAGUGUCUUGUUGAAACAAGAUGGUUUUUGUGGUCCUUUUCAACCCAAAUCAUUCUGAUUCUCUGAUUGAUGCUCCAGCCCUUAGUGAGUCUCACUCCCCUCCCUCCCUGCCAUGCCUUUUGUCCCAGGCCUGCUCCUGCUGCCUCCUGCUCCUUGCUCCAGAGGCAGCUCAGCUCAGGUUUAGCCAGGUACUCUGGGUACUCACCUGGGCCAGGUGCCUCAGCUGGAACAUGGAUGACACUCAGGCCUCCCUGGUAUCAUCAUUUAACUGCAAAAAUGUGCAUAGAAGGAACUGAGGGUCACAAGAGCAGAUUGAGGUCUGACUUUCCCCCCUUUUGACUGGUUUGAAUUUCAGCUUUAGGUUAUUUUGCAAUCCAAAUUUACCACCUCAACUCUGUAAAACCCUCAGCAGCUAAAUGUCAUCCCUUGAGCUGCUUUCUUUUACUGUUUAUCCCCUCAGUUCUGGAGAGGACUCACAAGGCACAGGCAAGUUUUUUAUUUACAGUAGGUUUAAGUUACUACAAGUGACUUGCAGUUAUCUUUUGGAAGGGCUUUGUGGACCAUCAGAAAUUUGCCAGUUAAAAUAAAAAAGUUUUCUACUCAAUCCAAUAGAUUUGACUUCCAGGAUUCUCCUACGAGUAAAACUACACGUCCCCUCACAGUGCUGGUAUUCCUUUCAUCACGUAGGAGCACCUGUAGCACUCUUGCCUAAUAAAGCAUAUUGACUUAUAUGUAAACAGGUGGGUGGCUUGCCCUUUUGCAGCAUUCUGUGCCAUCUGAGUGCCUGUGCUGGCUUCAGGAAGCCUCUUGCUCUCUGCUGCUCAGCUCACACAGGAGUUUGGGUUGACAGAUUCGAAACUACCUCUGCUCUUAAUAAUUUCAUUUGCGCUGCGUCUCUUCAAAAGAGGUCACAGAAAUCCCUCUGCCUCCCCUUCCUUGAAAUCAAGUUACAAGUGUUACAAGUGGCUCUGGGAUGAUCACACCCCCAGCAUUGGAAGCACAAGGGUGGAGUGCCUCUCCAGCAGUUAUUCUAGGAAUACUGACGCACUGAGCCGAGGGAACGUACAGUGGAUGCUCUGUGUGUGUGUGUGUGUGUGUGUGUGUGCAGAUGCCUUUGCCACAGCCUUCACCCGGUGUUGUUAAACACAUCCUGAGUGACCUUAUUUGGAGGCCCCAUUCUUGUCACGCUGCCCACGACUAAAGAAAACAUCCUGGCUCAGCUCACCUACGUGAAAAAGAUGAGGCUCCGCUCAGGUCUGGAAGGCUGAAAAAUGUUCUGGUUUGGUGUUGAGGCCUGGAAGGCCUGAAGUUUGUCUGGAUUCUGAAAUCUACCCUCUGCACACCCAGUCCUACUGACCUUCCUGCCCAGGCAGUGUGUCUUGUCUAAGAAAGUGUCUUCUUUCUCCUGGUGGGCUUGCUUCCAGGUACUAAGGAAUCCUGGGGACACAGAUACACAGGCUCAACUAGAAAGUCACUUCAGUCAUCCGUCUCCUAUUGUAAUACACUGACAGGUCCCUAAAAGCAGGCUGAUGGUUUUACUUUCGGAAAACUCUUUGGUUUAUGUAAAGUUUUCUAUUUCCCAAUACUGUUAUCUCAGCUUGGACUAGAAACAUUCAGGAGCCACUUCUGAUCUAAGUAUUUCUAGGAUUCAGUGACAUCUGCCACUACAUCCAUUGACAGUUUUCAAUAAACUAAAUUGUUAUUUUCCCCUUGUUAGGCAGAAGACAAGGAUCGAUAAUAAACUUGGUUGUAACCUACUUUUAAACUUACUCUUAAUUCCUUGGUUUCACAUGUUUCACUCAGAUCUGUCUCCUUGAAGAAGAGAUAAAAAAGGCUUAGGUUAAAGACAUUAGGAAUGGAAAAAUGCAAAGAGGGAGAAGGGAAUGCAGUGAAACAAGAAGACAAAAUAUGCAGACAUCAUCAUCAGCCAAGGGCACUUUUACUGUGGGACAGUAAUAACAGAGCAUGUGACUGAUAUGGUUAGAGCUGCCUCAGUGCAAUUGCAGGUCUUGCUCUUUAGCUCUGAGAAUUAUUUUUUGUGGGAUCUCUUAGAAACUAAAACUUCAUUGUAGAAAUAGUUGCUCUCUGUCAGUUUUAAGAGUAAUUUUUUAACACAAAAGCGUAA
RNA transcript from Oenanthe melanoleuca, 3463 nucleotides. It is a transcript of the gene named TP53 induced glycolysis regulatory phosphatase, with no coding region annotated. NCBI's taxonomy places the organism in Eukaryota, Metazoa, Chordata, Aves, Passeriformes, Muscicapidae. The transcript is spliced from 8 exons. The record is from RefSeq and is a predicted model, not a curated record.